UGUAAAUCAUUAAGUUACUGUACAAUUACAGGCACAGUUAUUUCGACAUGUUGGCGACCCUGGAGAAAUUGGACGGGCAUGCUUGUACCUGGCGACUGAUGCAACAUUUACUGCUGGAGAUCGUAGUCAUAGUACAGAAACUGCUGCAGUUGGUCCUAGCAUUGUACAUGUUGAAGGUAAUAUGUGCAGAAAACACGAUAUGGAGGGGCCCAUGCAGAAAGCAACUAACAGAUCAUGGGACAAAGUGUAUGUGGUUAUACACGGACCUUCUCUUUCCUGUUAUAAGGACCAGAAACAUGCUAAACAGGACCCAAGUUCUCGCAUUCACCACGAGGCCGCCUUGGACCUGUCUGGUGCCGAGUGCGAGCGUGCUACGGACUACAAAAAGAUGCCAAACGUGUUCCGACUCCGACUUGCCAGUGGAGGAGAGUAUCUCUUCAUAGCAAAAGAUCAGUGGCGGCGUGCAGAACCACAUUAAAGCAGGCAUACUCGUACCAUUUUAAUUUGAUCGCAAAUACUGCAGUGAAUGCAAUGGAACUGUUUAUUUGAUGUCACUGCCUCUGAGAAAACAUUGUCAAAGAAACACAUUUUUCAUGUACAUUAUGCAGUAAUGUACUUCCAGCCCCAGGAAAAUGUAACUAAUGAAAGUUUUACAUUUGAAUUUCGUUGAGAGCCUGAAAUGGAACUGUGGAUUAACGUUAUAAACAGCACGUGUUCAAAGGGCGGGACAGCCCCUAUGUGAUCCCAGACCAUGCCAGUCAGAUCAGAAAACUCAAAAGACACAACAAAGAAACUAACAUUUCUAACAUUUUGAAAAUAUAGACAUUAAUCAAAUUAUUGAUAGAGCACUUUUUUUAUUCGAUAAAAGAUUUUACGUCUCAUACUUUCGGAAAAAAAAACGUGUUUGCCUUUUUACGAUGUCCAUCUAAUGUAUGUAGUGAAACGCCAUACAUGGUGCAUUAAAUACAUCGUUAAUGGGUUCCAAAUUCACGUGAAAAGUAGUGGUAUCUGUAUGAUACAACAAAUAAAAAAACUUCCAAAUAUGGAAAGAAGGGAAAAGUGAGAUUAUUUAAAGGUAUACCGGACCCAAUUUUCAUAUUUGAAAACAUCAACAAAAAUUACAUAUAUAUGUAAACUUGAAAUUAACAAGUUUACAUGUGUGGCUGAACCUGUAUGAAUGUGUAGUACCACUAAAAACUGUAAGAAUGGACUGUUGCUGCACGACAUUAAAUUAUAUGUAUAGCUCUAUAUACCCAAUUAUUUUAUAUAUUAAGUAAAGUUAAGUUGAUGAGGAUUUUCUACAUUUGAAGUAAAUAUCUAAAUAUAACAGAUUUUCAUGAAAGAUAGCUAUUGGAUAUCUUUAAACAGUACGAUUAUAGAAGUGAAAGUUAAUGUUAUAUUAUUUAAUAUUGUUCUGUACAAUGCACAGAUAUAUUUGGACAAGUACUCACGGAAAGUAAUAUAAUUAACAACUCAGAUAACAUUACUGUUAUUUCAGGAAGGUUCUGUCAACACUCACAGAGUAAUGAAGACAUUUUUCUUCAAAUCUGGGAAAUCUCUGUCAUCAAAACCAAGCUUGCUCCAAACAGUCCAGGACAUAUUUAGUUCUGGCUACUGUACCUUAACUUGCACAUAUUUUUGUAUACAUAAGUCCCAUUACAGUAAGUCGAAUUGAAGUUAGCUAUGUAACAAUAUAUUAAAUUCUUCAACUGAAUUCAUUUAUAAAAAAGACAUACUUUUGUAUGCUGAAAAACAGUAAUAGCUGGGAUAUAUCGACAAAACAAACCAAACAAUUAGCGAUAGGUUGGGAUGUUUCAAUGCGGGUUUAGUAAAUCAAUUUUUUGUUAAACUGGGACUUAUACAGUUUAUAGGUAAAAAGGACUGCGAAUUUGCUCUCUUUUGAAUAUCUUUUUACCUAGAGUCUAUUCUUUCUAAAAUAUUAAGUUUAUACGUCUGCAAGGACACUGCUUACCAGUGGCUUGUCGCAUUUAUAUGCUUUUGUUUUUACAAUCUACGAAGAAAUAAAGAUAAAUAACAGGU
Mercenaria mercenaria is the source of this 2040-nucleotide RNA transcript. It is a transcript of the gene named spectrin beta chain, non-erythrocytic 1-like, with no coding region annotated. The record is from RefSeq and is a predicted model, not a curated record. The transcript is spliced from 6 exons. NCBI's taxonomy places the organism in Eukaryota, Metazoa, Mollusca, Bivalvia, Venerida, Veneridae.